RNAcentral lists this ribosomal RNA (888 nucleotides) under Triticum aestivum (bread wheat). Its description in RNAcentral is "partial small subunit ribosomal RNA". Lineage: Eukaryota; Viridiplantae; Streptophyta; Magnoliopsida; Poales; Poaceae. The record is from RNAcentral.
GUUUGGAGGAUUCUUUGGAAACUUCGAGUGCCGACCAAAGUUAAGAUUCACCUAUGGAGGGCGUUGUAUGGUGCGAUUCCUUGUCGUGGCAUCCUUGUGAACAGGCAUAUGCUUACCAGUUCGCAAUGUCCAAUUUGCUCUACAGAUUGUGAAAGUAUACAUCACGCCUUUUUUAAAUGCCCACGUGUCCAACUCAUUUGGGAAAAACUGGGUAUGGCUGAGACAAUUUUUGAGUUGUGCAGUACAGAGAGGGAAGGUGCUUCGGUCCUUGGUGACCUGCUGCUAAUGCCGUGCACUAAUAUUCCCUCGCUAUCUGAUGUUAACAGGAAGGAUUUGAUAGCAGUGGCUGUGUGGUACAAAAAGAUGGGUACACGCCGGAUCAGAAGACAUGGAUGGAGGAGACCGCUGAGCAGUUUUGUCAAACUCAACGUUGAUGCAUCCUUUGAUGUAGACAGCGGUACGGGGGGUUCGGGUGCUAUUAUCCGAGAUGAAUAUGGUGCUUUCAUUGCGGCUUCAUGCAGCAAUAUCCCCUUCGUAGAGGAUGCAGCGACAGCUGAAGCCCGUGGUUUGAAGGAUGGACUCAUACUAGCAAGUAAUGUUGGUUGCAACAAGCUGGAGAUCGAAGCUGACUGUAUGGAGGUGAUUGAAAUCAUGAACAGCGGCGGAAACUCUCUCGGCCCAGCAGCAACAAUUUAUGAGGAAUGUUACUUUCUUUGUCGUAAUUUUAUUUCUAUUAGUUUUCAUUAUUGUCUUAGGGAGGCCAAUAUGGCGGCAGAUUUGUUGGCUACAAAGUUAGAGCCCUCACGAACAAUUGUUUGGGAUGAGGCUCCUGAUUUUUUGCUACAUGUACUUUCAAAUGAUGUAGCCCUUUUUUCACAUGAAAUAUAA